AGAGCGAACGCUGGCGGCAGGCCUAACACAUGCAAGUCGAGCGCCCGUAGCAAUACGGGAGCGGCAGACGGGAUAGUAACACGUGGGAACGCGCCCUUCGGUUCGGAAUAACUCAGGGAAACUUGAGCUAAUACCGGAUACGCCCUUACGGGGAAAGAUUUAUUGCCGAAGGAACGGCCCGCGUCCGAUUAGCUAGUUGGUGAGGUAAUGGCUCACCAAGGCGACGAUCGGUAGCUGGUCUGAGAGGAUGACCAGCAUCACUGGGACUGAGACACGGCCCAGACUCCUACGGGAGGCAGCAGUGGGGAAUAUUGGACAAUGGGCGCAAGCCUGAUCCAGCCAUGCCGCGUGGAUGAUGAAGGCCUUAGGGUUGUAAAGUCCUUUAACGGGGAAGAUAAUGACGGUACCGUAGAAUAAGCCCGGCUAACUUCGCGCCAGCAGCCGC
RNAcentral lists this ribosomal RNA (445 nucleotides) under uncultured bacterium. Its description in RNAcentral is "SSU rRNA". It matches the Rfam family "Bacterial small subunit ribosomal RNA", at positions 26 to 518 of the family's 1533-position model. The record is from RNAcentral.